RNAcentral lists this ribosomal RNA (216 nucleotides) under uncultured Glomus. Its description in RNAcentral is "partial small subunit ribosomal RNA". It matches the Rfam family "Eukaryotic small subunit ribosomal RNA", at positions 569 to 787 of the family's 1831-position model. Lineage: Eukaryota; Fungi; Glomeromycota; Glomeromycetes; Glomerales; Glomeraceae. The record is from RNAcentral.
AGCAGCCGCGGUAAUUCCAGCUCCAAUAGCGUAUAUUAAAGUUGUUGCAGUUAAAAAGCUCGUAGUUGAAUUUCGGGAUCACCAGGUUGGUCGUGCCUCCGGUAUGUACUUGCCUAGGUGGUCCCUCCUUCUUGAAGAACCGUAAUGGCAUUAAUUUGUUGUUGCGGGGAAACAGGACUGUUACUUUGAAAAAAUUAGAGUGUUUAAAGCAGGCAA